This 253-nucleotide ribosomal RNA is filed under the name uncultured bacterium. RNAcentral's name for it is "partial 16S ribosomal RNA". It matches the Rfam family "Bacterial small subunit ribosomal RNA", at positions 524 to 776 of the family's 1533-position model. The record is from RNAcentral.
UACGAAGGGGGCUAGCGUUGUUCGGAAUCACUGGGCGUAAAGCGCACGCAGGCGGAUCGAUGAGGCGGGGGUGAAAGCCCGGGGCUCAACCUCGGAAUUGGCUUCGAUACUGUCGGUCUCGAGUCCGGGAGAGGUGAGUGGAAUUCCUAGUGUAGAGGUGAAAUUCGUAGAUAUUAGGAAGAACACCAGUGGCGAAGGCGGCUCACUGGCGCGGUACUGACGCUCAGGUGCGAAAGCGUGGGGAGCAAACAGG